AGUGAACGCUGGCGGUAGGCCUAACACAUGCAGGUCGAACGGCAGCACAGUAAGAGCUUGCUCUUACGGGUGGCGAGUGGCGGACGGGUGAGGAAUACAUCGGAAUCUACUUUUUCGUGGGGGAUAACGUAGGGAAACUUACGCUAAUACCGCAUACGACCUACGGGUGAAAGCAGGGGAUCUUCGGACCUUGCGCGAUUGAAUGAGCCGAUGUCGGAUUAGCUAGUUGGCGGGGUAAAGGCCCACCAAGGCGACGAUCCGUAGCUGGUCUGAGAGGAUGAUCAGCCACACUGGAACUGAGACACGGUCCAGACUCCUACGGGAGGCAGCAGUAGGGAAUAUUGGACAAUGGGCGGAAGCCUGAUCCAGCCACACCGCGUGGGUGAAGAAGGCCUUCGGGUUGUAAAGCCCUUUUGUUGGGAAAGAAAAGCAGCAGGUUAAUACCCCGCUGUUCUGACGGUACCCAAAGAAUAAGCACCGGCUAACUUCGUG
This 492-nucleotide ribosomal RNA is filed under the name uncultured bacterium. Its description in RNAcentral is "partial 16S ribosomal RNA". It matches the Rfam family "Bacterial small subunit ribosomal RNA", at positions 29 to 507 of the family's 1533-position model. The record is from RNAcentral.